Molecule: long non-coding RNA, 303 nt
Filed under: Oryza sativa Indica Group (long-grained rice)
Lineage: Eukaryota; Viridiplantae; Streptophyta; Magnoliopsida; Poales; Poaceae
Description: lncRNA OsGoSa_01g0023870
Source: RNAcentral
AUGUUUGUUAAAAUAGCAUCUCGAGCUACAGAAUCUGAUGAAACAUACUUAAUGGCUGCCAACAAUGCACAAAAGUUAGCAGAAGAUGUGGAGAAAUACUUGAGUAUAAGGCCUGAUCCAGAUUUGGAUAAAUCUGGCACAGAGGAAAAUGUUGACCCGAGUAAAGCAAGAGGCAUAAAGGUUAAGGAGAAAGCCAUUCGUGGGUCGAGGAGACCAAUUGGUGGUUUUGACAAGGCAACACAACGGAGUAAAAAGAAAAAGAGUGAUUCAAACACAUCAAAGUGUCCAGUACAAGCAGAGGUG